CUACGGAGGGUGCGAGCGUUGUUCGGAAUUAUUGGGCGUAAAGAGCAUGUAGGCGGUCUGUUAAGUCUGGUGUGAAAGCCCGGGGCUCAACCCCGGAAGUGCAUUGGAUACUGGCAGACUUGAGUAUGGGAGAGGAAAGCGGAAUUCCGAGUGUAGGAGUGAAAUCCGUAGAUAUUCGGAGGAACACCAGUGGCGAAGGCGGCUUUCUGGACCAAUACUGACGCUGAGAUGCGAAAGCGUGGGGAGCAAACAGGAUUAGAAACCCCGGUAGUCC
RNAcentral lists this ribosomal RNA (274 nucleotides) under uncultured bacterium. RNAcentral's name for it is "partial 16S ribosomal RNA". It matches the Rfam family "Bacterial small subunit ribosomal RNA", at positions 523 to 796 of the family's 1533-position model. The record is from RNAcentral.